UGUCCAGACUCCUACGGGAGGCAGCAGUGGGGAAUAUUGGGCAAUGGACGCAAGUCUGACCCAGCAGCGCCGCGUGAAGGAAGAAGGCUUUCGGGUUGUAAACUUCUUUUAAGGGGGAAGAGCAGAAGACGGUACCCCUUGAAUAAGCCACGGCUAACUACGUGCCAGCAGCCGCGGUAAUACGUAGGUGGCAAGCGUUAUCCGGAUUUACUGGGUGUAAAGGGCGUGUAGGCGGGGACGCAAGUCAGAUGUGAAAACCACGGGCUCAACCCAUAGCCUGCAUUUGAAACUGUAUUUCUUGAGUGCUGGAGAGGCAAUCGGAAUUCCGUGUGUAGCGGUGAAAUGCGUAGAUAUACGGAGGAACACCAGUGGCGAAGGCGGAUUGCUGGACAGCAACUGACGCUGAGGCGCGAAAGCGUGGGGAGCAAACAGGAUUAGAUACCCCAGUAUU
Molecule: ribosomal RNA, 451 nt
Filed under: uncultured bacterium
Lineage: Bacteria
Description: bacterial SSU rRNA
Rfam family: Bacterial small subunit ribosomal RNA
Source: RNAcentral